This is a long non-coding RNA of Musa acuminata subsp. malaccensis (wild Malaysian banana), 1016 nucleotides long. RefSeq lists it as uncharacterized. NCBI's taxonomy places the organism in Eukaryota, Viridiplantae, Streptophyta, Magnoliopsida, Zingiberales, Musaceae. The record is from RefSeq and is a predicted model, not a curated record.
CAUCCCUCGCUCGCUCCCUCCCUCCCUUGUUUUUAAUUGUGACGUCGUGUCGCUUUUCCUGUCAUUACCAGGGAAGAAGUCCAAACCCUUCGGCUACUCGUCGCUCACAACAAAACACGAUUGCCGUUCCUCCGUUUCUGAUCGAAUUCAUUUUGAGUGUCGGGCUGGAAGCAUGCGGCAGCUGCAAUAGGAGGAAGAGGCUGACACCAGUUCUUGAUGUAGCAGUUGGGCAAGCAAAAGGGCAAAAAUGAGGUGAAAGAUGGCAACAACUACAAACCAACAAAGUUUAGGGUUUUGCACGACGACGAUGAAGAAAAAGAGGACUUCUCUGCUACCGGAAUCAUCAAACUUGUCCCCGCGACGGGAUCACAUUAUGUCGCUUCAGGGCCGAAGGAACGAAGAGCUUCAAGGAUCAAUUCGGUCCAAGGAGAGGCUGGGUCUUCUUUUUGGUGCUCUUUCGGCUUUUGGCACACUCGAUCUACCUACAUGGAGCAUAAACUGUUCUGCUGAUGUCCCUUACGCUUCUGGAAUUAAACCCUUGGAAGAGGACGGAGACUUAACUUGUACAAUUCUCCUGGGGAUCGGAAAAUACUUCCAGUUAUAGGAAAGUAGCAAUUGAAUGGAGCCAAAUCUGGAAUACAAUGCCGCAGGAAUUAACCGGAAGUGAUAUCGGGAAGGCAUGCAUCUGAGGUCACCACUCAUCGAGAAUUGGGAAUGUCCAUGGAGCAUACAUACAAGCAUCGAAUGGUCCUGAGUAAUAUACAGUCAUUUCCAAGUUUGGAGCAGGACAUCCCUGAGUUGGUCAGUCUUGGCACAAAUUCUAUCUCAGCAAAUGCUGGUGUUAAUGGAGAAUUUCAUGGACCAGCUGAAGUAUGGUUAAUUCUAGAAUUUUGGUUCAACAAGUACAUCAACAUAAGAACAAAAAUCUAUGGUGAUGGCUGAAUGUUUUAUCUUUCCCUUCUUUUUUCUGCCUGAUUUUGAGCACUAAAUCCAGAAUUUUAAGAAAAUUUUUGACA